This 398-nucleotide ribosomal RNA is filed under the name uncultured bacterium. RNAcentral describes it as "partial 16S ribosomal RNA". It matches the Rfam family "Bacterial small subunit ribosomal RNA", at positions 523 to 918 of the family's 1533-position model. The record is from RNAcentral.
AUACGUAGGGUGCGAGCGUUGUCCGGAAUUACUGGGCGUAAAGAGCUCGUAGGUGGUUUGUCGCGUCGUCUGUGAAAUUCCGGGGCUUAACUCCGGGCGUGCAGGCGAUACGGGCAUAACUUGAGUACUGUAGGGGAGACUGGAAUUCCUGGUGUAGCGGUGAAAUGCGCAGAUAUCAGGAGGAACACCGGUGGCGAAGGCGUGUCUCUGGGCAGUAACUGACGCUGAGGAGCGAAAGCAUGGGUAGCGAAAAGGAUUGGAUACCCUGGUAGUCCAUGCCGUAAACGGUGGGCGCUAGGUGUAGGGGUCUUCCACGACUUCUGUGCCGUAGCUAACGCAUUAAGCGCCCCGCCUGGGGAGUACGGCCGCAAGGCUAAAACUCAAAUGAAUUGACGGGG